RNAcentral lists this ribosomal RNA (415 nucleotides) under uncultured archaeon. RNAcentral describes it as "bacterial SSU rRNA". It matches the Rfam family "Archaeal small subunit ribosomal RNA", at positions 581 to 997 of the family's 1478-position model. The record is from RNAcentral.
AUACUGCCAGACGUUGGAACCGGGAGAGGUAAGAGGUACUACGAGGGGUAGGAGUGAAUCUUGUAACUCCCUGUGGGACCACCUGUGGCGAGGCGUCUACAGACGGUUCGACGGUGAGGGACGAAAGCUGGGGGCACGAACCGGAUUAGAUACCCGGGUAGUCCCAGCCGUAAACGAUGCUCGCUAGGUGUCAGGCAUGGCGCGACCGUGUCUGGUGCCGCAGGGAAGCCGUGAAGCGAGCCACCUGGGAAGUACGGCCGCAAGGCUGAAACUUAAAGGAAUUGGCGGGGGAGCACAACAACGGGUGGAGCCCUGCGGUUUAAUUGGACUCAACGCCGGACAACUCACCGGGGGCGACAGCAAUAUGUAGGCCAAGCUGAAGACUUUGCCUGAAUCGCUGAGGAGAGGUGCAUGG